Long non-coding RNA from Scophthalmus maximus (turbot), 919 nucleotides. RefSeq lists it as uncharacterized. The transcript is spliced from 3 exons. Lineage: Eukaryota; Metazoa; Chordata; Actinopteri; Pleuronectiformes; Scophthalmidae. The record is from RefSeq and is a predicted model, not a curated record.
CGUCCUUUUCAAUGGCGGUUCGCGAACAGCGCAACAGGCGCAUUCUCGGCACCUUGUGCUGCGGAGUUCUACGUUUCCUCCGACCGCGGCAGAUAUAUUCAAAAAUGUGCCCGAAAAAAGCGAAAGAAAUCAAAAGGCAGGAUCUGUGUCCAGUCCUUCCCAGUAUUUCUCCAUCAGUGUAUUCACAACCAAUCCCUCGCACUCAACUUCCACUGCAAACUGAGGAACGUCAAUCUCUGAAUGAUCGUCCAUGUUGAACACCGUCACGGAUAUGCACAAUCGCAGCACAAUCGCAGGAUUUCUCCAGAUCUCCUCCUGGAGCUGUCGGCGCGGCACCAUCUCCGACAGUUCAUCCUCAUCCCUCCCCUGACCACCAGGUGACGCUCUACCUAAUAUCCAUCUCUUUUUACACGCUUUUCUUUUCUAUCACUUUUGCAGCAUAAGCUUGUGCGUUGGUGCUCUCCAAUUCUCUCCAUCGUUAACAAACGCUCUUCGUUUCUCGUCCAGCAGCUGUUGGCUGUCCGUUCUGUGAAAAACUUUAACCAUUGUUUCACUAAAUGUUAUGGAGGAAUCCUAAGAAAUUUCGAGUGGAUCCUAAGCUUCAUUCAUUAGGCGGUUCAUUCAUACCCAUCCACGAACUGCAACAUAUAUUCAAUGCAGUCUUAAAGUCAAAAGACUGGUCUUCACUUGUUUCCAUUAACUGCACCAGUCACAACAUGUCUUUUGAAAAAGCCUGUUGAUGGUUUAUUCAUUUUAAUCACUACAGAAUUAGGUUUGGGUGCAACACAUGCCACAUGUAAAAAAGAAUACAGUCACUUGUAUGAUGAUUUUUUUUCAUAUUUGAUAUAAACAUUUACUAGACAAAGAAUCUGACAUGGUGACUGGACUGAAAUGUGUAAAUAAAAAUAGACAUUAAUAA